CGGACGGGUGAGUAAUGUCUGGGAAACUGCCUGAUGGAGGGGGAUAACUACUGGAAACGGUAGCUAAUACCGCAUAACGUCGCAAGACCAAAGAGGGGGACCUUCGGGCCUCUUGCCAUCGGAUGUGCCCAGAUGGGAUUAGCUAGUAGGUGGGGUAACGGCUCACCUAGGCGACGAUCCCUAGCUGGUCUGAGAGGAUGACCAGCCACACUGGAACUGAGACACGGCCCAGACUCCUACGGGAGGCAGCAUG
RNAcentral lists this ribosomal RNA (253 nucleotides) under uncultured bacterium. RNAcentral's name for it is "partial 16S ribosomal RNA". It matches the Rfam family "Bacterial small subunit ribosomal RNA", at positions 99 to 353 of the family's 1533-position model. The record is from RNAcentral.